AUUGCCUCAGUAACGGCGAGUGAAGCGGCAAUAGCUCAAAUUUGAAAUCUGGCUCUUCGAGUCCGAGUUGUAAUUUGUAGAGGAUGUUUCGGGUGCGCCCGCAGUUUAAGUUCCUUGGAACAGGACGUCAUAGAGGGUGAGAAUCCCGUCUUGAACUGUACGGCAAGUCCAUGUGAAACUCCUUCGACGAGUCGAGUUGUUUGGGAAUGCAGCUCAAAAUGGGAGGUAAAUUUCUUCUAAAGCUAAAUAUUGGCCAGAGACCGAUAGCGCACAAGUAGAGUGAUCGAAAGAUGAAAAGCACUUUGAAAAGAGAGUUAAACAGUAUGUGAAAUUGUUAAAAGGGAAGCGUUUGCAACCAGACUUGUUUCUAACAGUUCUACCGCAGUUCUCUGUGGCUUAUUCUGUUAGUCCAGGCCAGCAUCAGUUUGGGUGGCUCGUUAAAGGCCUUGGGAAUGUAUCUACUCCUUCGGGUGUAGACUUAUAGCCCUCGGUGUAAUAGGGUCUACCUGGACUGAGGUACGCGCUUUAUUGCUCGGAUGCUGGCGUAAUGGUUGUAAACGACCCGUCUUGAAACACGGACCAAGGAGUCUAACAUCUAUGCGAGUGUUAGGGUGUCAAACCCUUACGCGUAAUGAAAGUGAACGGAGGUAGGAACCCGCAAGGGUGCACUAUCGACCGAUCCUGAUGUCUUCGGAUGGAUUUGAGUAAGAGCAUAGCUGUUGGGACCCGAAAGAUGGUGAACUAUGCCUGAAUAGGGUGAAGCCAGAGGAAACUCUGGUGGAGGCUCGCAGCGGUUCUGACGUGCAAAUCGAUCGUCAAAUUUGGGUAUAGGGGCGAAAGACUAAUCGAACCAUCUGGUAGCUGGUUCCUGCCGAAGUUUCCCUCAGGAUAGCAGUAACGAAAUCAGUUUUAUGAGGUAAAGCGAAUGAUUAGAGGCCUUGGGGUUGAAACAACCUUAACCUAUUCUCAAACUUUAAAUAUGUAAGAAGUCCUUGUUACUUAAUUGAACGUGGACAUUUGAAUGUAUCGUUACUAGUGGGCCAUUUUUGGUAAGCAGAACUGGCGAUGCGGGAUGAACCGAACGUGAGGUUAAGGUGCCGGAAUACUCGCUCAUCAGACACCACAAAAGGUGUCAAUGCAUCUAGACAGUCCGACGGUGGCCAUGGAAGUCGGAAUCCGCUAAGGAGUGUGUAACAACUCACGGACCGAAUGCAUUGGCCCUGAAAAUGGAUGGCGCUCAAGCGAGUUACCCAUACCUCACCGUUAAAGUUAUAAUGAUGCUUUAACGAGUAGGCAGGCGUGGAGAUUGUGACGAAGCCUUG
This 1322-nucleotide ribosomal RNA is filed under the name fungal sp. AEA 11164. Its description in RNAcentral is "eukaryotic LSU rRNA". It matches the Rfam family "Eukaryotic large subunit ribosomal RNA", at positions 74 to 1413 of the family's 3401-position model. The record is from RNAcentral. Lineage: Eukaryota; Fungi.